Molecule: ribosomal RNA, 253 nt
Filed under: uncultured bacterium
Lineage: Bacteria
Description: partial 16S ribosomal RNA
Rfam family: Bacterial small subunit ribosomal RNA
Source: RNAcentral
UACGUAGGGUGCAAGCGUUGUCCGGAAUUAUUGGGCGUAAAGAGCUCGUAGGCGGUCAGUCGCGUCUGCUGUGAAAACUCGGGGCUUAACUCCGGGCCUGCAGUGGGUACGGGCUGACUAGAGUGCGGUAGGGGAGACUGGAAUUCCUGGUGUAGCGGUGGAAUGCGCAGAUAUCAGGAGGAACACCGGUGGCGAAGGCGGGUCUCUGGGCAGUAACUGACGCUGAGGAGCGAAAGCGUGGGGAGCGAACAGG